CAACGGAUCUCUUGGCUCUCGCAUCGAUGAAGAACGCAGCGAAAUGCGAUAAGUAAUGUGAAUUGCAGAAUUCAGUGAAUCAUCGAAUCUUUGAACGCACCUUGCGCUCCUUGGUAUUCCGAGGAGCAUGCCUGUUUGAGUGUCAUUAAAUUCUCAACCUU
This 161-nucleotide ribosomal RNA is filed under the name Hebeloma sacchariolens. RNAcentral describes it as "5.8S ribosomal RNA". It matches the Rfam family "5.8S ribosomal RNA". Rfam says of the family: 5.8S ribosomal RNA (5.8S rRNA) is a component of the large subunit of the eukaryotic ribosome. RNAcentral also lists the same sequence under 1 other name. The record is from RNAcentral. Lineage: Eukaryota; Fungi; Basidiomycota; Agaricomycetes; Agaricales; Hymenogastraceae.